RNAcentral lists this ribosomal RNA (253 nucleotides) under uncultured bacterium. RNAcentral's name for it is "partial 16S ribosomal RNA". It matches the Rfam family "Bacterial small subunit ribosomal RNA", at positions 524 to 776 of the family's 1533-position model. The record is from RNAcentral.
UACGAAGGGAGCUAGCGUUGUUCGGAAUCACUGGGCGUAAAGCGCACGUAGGCGGAUUUGUCAGUCAGGGGUGAAAUCCCGGGGCUCAACCUCGGAACUGCCUUUGAUACAGCAAGCCUUGAGUUCGAGAGAGGUGGGUGGAAUUCCUAGUGUAGAGGUGAAAUUCGUAGAUAUUAGGAAGAACACCUAUGGCGAAGGCAGCUCUCUGGGACGGUACUGACGCUGAGACGCGAAAGCGUGGGGAGCGAACAGG